UGUGGACAAACGCAAGCUCCUGAUCUGCCCUUAAUUGGGUGUAUCAGCUGUAAGUUUGCGGACGUACCUUGAACAAAUCGGCUUGUUCAAAGUAGGCCUAGUGCCUGGACAUUCUAGCAUGGAAUGUUCGAUCGAGACCUGAUCGUUUGGUCGGAAACGAGUAAGGUCC
RNAcentral lists this ribosomal RNA (169 nucleotides) under Tetracapsuloides bryosalmonae. RNAcentral's name for it is "partial small subunit ribosomal RNA". Lineage: Eukaryota; Metazoa; Cnidaria; Myxozoa; Malacovalvulida; Saccosporidae. The record is from RNAcentral.